UUUUAUUUGGCAUGAGGACCGAAACUUCCCUUCCUUUCUAGUGGAGGCAAGUAAGUGAAAAGUUCCUCAUCCUCUUUAAGCUUUUGCUUUCACUGAAUCUAAAGGCAUACUGUUUCCUCAAUUUCUGAUUUUUAUGUGACUUUGCUUAACUUCUUGGCUUCAACUUCAUUGUUAGCAAAAUUAUACAUCAAAGAAGGAAAACUGUGAUAUCAUUUUCAAAAAAAAAAGAAGGAAAACUGUGAUUCAAGGAUCAUUAUAGAAUGGAUACCUCCUGAAGGCAUGUUUCAUUCGUUUGAAUCUUUUGUCCUUUUUAGGUAUUAAUCUUUCUUAUUCCCCAUGGACUUCGUCAACCACCAUCACUAUAGUGUUUUGACUCAGCCCUUAAUCAUCUCAAGUUUAUAAAACAUUUCAAGUCAUAUCCAAGACGUGCUCAGGAAUUUCAGGGUCUUACUACUAUCUAUACAGAAACGUUGAUAAUUGUUGUCGCAAGAUCUGUAUUUAUCCUAUUGAGUUGUUUUUUGCUAGAAAAUAAAGGGCAGCAUAUUGUAGGAAGCAGAUUCACUGCUAUAUUAGUUUCUGUUAUGUCAUGCCUCACUAGCUUUUUAGAUAAGAAUAUUGUGUACUAUUCUAGAGUUGUGUUUUUCUCCUUGGUGACUUAAAACAGCUUGCUAAUGUUGAAAUCCUUAUUCUGGUCUUUAUGGUUGUUAUAAGCACAUUAUAUCCACUAUACUAAGGAAAUAGAAAUUAUUAAAUCCGUGGUUUUGAUUUGGUUAACUUCAUUCACAUGCUAAAGAUUUCUUAAACAAAGUAUUGAGCUAAACACUAGAAUAAAAUGCAUUGAGCAACAAAAAGAUUAGAACCACCAAGAAUGGCACCAAAUUAAUAUGUUAUAUGUUAUCUGUCAAAAAAAUUAGUAUGUUUCUAUGUCUAUCCAUGCAAUUUGACCUCUUUGCCAUAACAGAAGUACUAAAG
Molecule: long non-coding RNA, 972 nt
Filed under: Solanum tuberosum (potato)
Lineage: Eukaryota; Viridiplantae; Streptophyta; Magnoliopsida; Solanales; Solanaceae
Description: long non-coding RNA (STUB_LNC010333)
Source: RNAcentral